GUGAGGAAUUUUCCGCAAUGGGCGAAAGCCUGACGGAGCAAUGCCGCGUGAAGGAUGAAGGCCUAUGGGUUGUAAACUUCUUUUCUCAGAAAAGAAUUAUGACGGUAUCUGAGGAAUAAGCAUCGGCUAACUCUGUGCCAGCAGCCGCGGUAAGACAGAGGAUGCAAGCGUUAUCCGGAAUGAUUGGGCGUAAAGCGUCUGUAGGUUGUUUAAAAAGUAUUCUGUCAAAGAUUAGGGCUUAACCCUAGAUAGGCAGAAUAAACUUUUAAGCUAGAGUAGAGUAGAGGCAGAGGGAAUUCCCGGUGGAGCGGUGAAAUGCGUAGAUAUCGGGAGGAACACCAAAGGCGAAGGCACUCUGCUGGGCCAAUACUAACACUGAGAGACGAAAGCGAGGGGAGCAAAUGGGAUUAGAUACCCCAGUAGUCC
This 426-nucleotide ribosomal RNA is filed under the name uncultured bacterium. RNAcentral describes it as "partial 16S ribosomal RNA". It matches the Rfam family "Bacterial small subunit ribosomal RNA", at positions 354 to 796 of the family's 1533-position model. The record is from RNAcentral.